RNAcentral lists this unclassified non-coding RNA (298 nucleotides) under uncultured Entoloma. RNAcentral's name for it is "sequence contains ITS2". The stretch from base 1 to 52 matches the Rfam family "5.8S ribosomal RNA", at positions 103 to 154 of the family's 154-position model. The record is from RNAcentral. Lineage: Eukaryota; Fungi; Basidiomycota; Agaricomycetes; Agaricales; Entolomataceae.
AACGCACCUUGCGCUCCUUGGUAUUCCGAGGAGCAUGCCUGUUUGAGUGUCAUGAAAUUCUCAACUUUUCUGGCUUUUAUUAGCUGGUUAGGCUUGGAUUGUGGAAGUUGCUGGUUUUGUUAGAAAUCAGCUCUUCUCAAAUGUAUUAGCAGAACCUUUGCUGACUAUCCUCUGGUAUGAUAAUUAUCUAUACCAUUGAAAAGUAGCUCCUCUGGGAGGGUUUUGCUUCUAAUAGUCUAUCUGGACAAACUAUUGACAAUUUGACCUCAAAUCAGGUAGGACUACCCGCUGAACUUAA